AUGCAUUGAUUGGGUUGGAAUGCAAGGCAAGUAAUUCCCAUGACUGUUCUCUGGCCUAUAGAUGAUGAUUGGUACAAGGGUUCCAUCACGGAGUACAAUUCAGACACCAAGCAUCAUAGAAAAUGAAGGAUUUAUGUUGGAAAUGUGGUGUCCCCAACUUAGAGAAGAAAGGCCUCAAUUACAAUGAAUUGCUGGCUUUAUCACUUAACUUUCAUGAUUGUCAAGGUCUUGAACUAGGUGAACUUGUAUGGGCAAAACUUAUAGAUUGAAAUACCAACAGUUGGGACUACUAUCAUGAAUAUCAUAAUUUUGUAUUUGUCUUUUCCUCUUUGCAUCCGAAGUGCAAGAAGGCAAGAUUUUGUCGAAGCUUGGAUGAAGCAAAAAUGUAUGUGCUUUCUUUGAUAUGUGAUUUUCCAUUCUUUCCUUUCAAAGUUAAAAAAAUCAUACAGCCAAUUGCCUGUUGCAUCUAGUUUCAGCACUCUCUAAGUUGCUAUGUUUCUUUGAACUUCAUAUAAUCCGGCCAUUGUUUUGUUGCCAUGUUUUUUCUUUCAUGUA
Long non-coding RNA from Zingiber officinale, 555 nucleotides. RefSeq lists it as uncharacterized. NCBI's taxonomy places the organism in Eukaryota, Viridiplantae, Streptophyta, Magnoliopsida, Zingiberales, Zingiberaceae. The record is from RefSeq and is a predicted model, not a curated record. The transcript is spliced from 4 exons.